Non-coding RNA from Choloepus hoffmanni (Hoffmann's two-fingered sloth), 57 nucleotides. The record is from Rfam. Lineage: Eukaryota; Metazoa; Chordata; Mammalia; Pilosa; Megalonychidae.
UUGCUAGGUUAAGUAGGGGCUGUUUUAUUAUGGUCUUUAUUUUAUUGUUAUUAAACC